GACGAACGCUGGCGGCGUGCUUAACACAUGCAAGUCGAACGGUAAAGCGCCUUCCUUUUUGGUGGGUGUGGUUGCGUGGCGAACGGGUGAAUAACACGAGCGUAACCUGCCCCCUUCUUCUGGAUAACCGCAUGAAAGUGUGGCUAAUACGGGAUAUUCUGCGUCUGUCGCAUGAUGGGUCUGGGACAGAUAUUGUUUCGGUGGGGGCUGGUUUCGCGGCCGAUCAGCGUGUUGGUGGGGUGAUGGCCUUCCAAGGCGGUGACGGGUGGCCGGCCUGAGGGGGAGUGAGGCACGGCUGAGACUGAGACGGGGGGCAGCCGCGGGGGAUAUUGCGCAAUGGGGGAUAGUCUGAUGCAGGGGGGACCCGUGAGGGGUGGAGGCCCUCGGGUGGUGAACCUCUUUCGGUAGUGAAGCAGGUCUGCCUGGGUUGUGGGUGGGUUGACGGUAGCUGGAUAAGAAGCGCCGGCUAACUACGUG
Molecule: ribosomal RNA, 477 nt
Filed under: uncultured bacterium
Lineage: Bacteria
Description: partial 16S ribosomal RNA
Rfam family: Bacterial small subunit ribosomal RNA
Source: RNAcentral